UUUUUUUAGUAUGAUUUUUGGUGUUAUGGUCGGAAAAAACACAAGUUUUAGUGCUAAAAAUGAUGUAAUUUGAACACCAAAAUGGUGUUGAGCCUUGAAGAUGCCCUUAGAAAGUAAAGAAACACUUUAAAUGAU
This 135-nucleotide small RNA is filed under the name Arabidopsis thaliana (thale cress). Its description in RNAcentral is "ATSL248200". Lineage: Eukaryota; Viridiplantae; Streptophyta; Magnoliopsida; Brassicales; Brassicaceae. The record is from RNAcentral.